GGCCGCUGACGUCCCCGUUGCCGAGUGGUGGCCCGGGGAGCCGCAAAGGCUGCGCUGAUUGGAGGAGAAGGCGCCUCUCAGCGUGGCUGGGCAGAGUGCAGGUCUGCUGUUUAUCGUGCGGAUGGAGAACAGCCAUGUUUGGUUUCAUGUACUUUUUCCUAUUUUUAAUGGCUGUUUGCACAAUUGCAGGAAACCUCAGGCUGUGUUGGACAAUCAUUUUUAAUGACAGUCUCUGACAUGUUCUCAAGACCCAUUUUUCUUAUUUUGCUGAGCUGUAACUCCAUUAUUAUUGAUGGAAACGGUUUUCAUUGGUUUGGGGCUGUGUGAUGAGUUUGAUGUUCACUGACAUUUACUGGUUAAAAAACUAGCCCUGUUAUUAUGGUCCCCACACUGGACCCCGUACCAGAGAAAGCCCCUAACCCAAAGACCUCACAAUCCAAAUAACAAGCUCAGAAGACUAGAGAAGCCGAGAGGCUCGGAGGAAUGUGGUAACUUUCAGCUGCCCUGAUCGUCGGAGCUCUGGGCACCUGGGACCCCUGCAAUGAGCGGGUGCUGUGGACCUCCGCGAUCAGUCAAUACUUCGCAUGGCUCACAUGGCACCUGGUCUCAGACACCAUCUGAUGGUCCAGGGGCGUCUGCAUCGAACACAUCACGAGCCACUGACAGUACCAGGAGGCAUGAGCCCGAGUGACUUCGUGCAUCAACUACAAGAAAGGGAUUGAGAAACUUUCUGUUGGACUAUAUGAGCUGGAACCAUAAACUCACUGAAUGUGAAAUCUCACCAAAUGAGGGUCAAUCCAGCCUCAUCGUCAUAUCCAUUCAUUAUACUCCACAGCUGAACAUAGCCAUUAUACGAACAACAUACCCUCAUAUCUCAGUGUCUGUACUUUGACCCAUUAACCUUUUACCCCCAAUUGAAGAUAUUGUAGAUUAUGUAUUCCUUACGCUAUCCAAUCUUAAACUGAACUUCACACCCCUUGGUAAUCUGCACGUUAUUCCCUGAUAACCAGACACUUCUGCGCUUAAAGUCUGUACCAUUUGCUUUUUUUAAUGUCAUCUUAAAUAAAAUUUUCCCUCUUCUUUCUGUUCUGA
Gopherus evgoodei (Goodes thornscrub tortoise) is the source of this 1092-nucleotide long non-coding RNA. RefSeq lists it as uncharacterized. The transcript has 2 exons. The record is from RefSeq and is a predicted model, not a curated record. NCBI's taxonomy places the organism in Eukaryota, Metazoa, Chordata, Testudines, Testudinidae.